GAGCACGUAGGUGGGUUUGUAAGUCAGAUGUGAAAGCCUUCUGUUCAACGGAAGAAUUGCAUCUGAAACUACAAACCUUGAGUAUAGGAGGGGAGAAUGGAACUUCUGGUGGGGCGGUGAAAUGCGUAGAUAUCAGAAGGAACGCCGGCGGCGAAAGCGAUUCUCUGGCCUAUUACUGACACUCAGUGUGCGAAAGCUAGGGGAGCAAACGGGAUUAGAUACCCCGGUAGUCCUAGCCGUAAACGAUGGGCACUAAGUAGAGGGGUUUU
RNAcentral lists this ribosomal RNA (269 nucleotides) under uncultured Planctomycetales bacterium. RNAcentral's name for it is "partial 16S ribosomal RNA". It matches the Rfam family "Bacterial small subunit ribosomal RNA", at positions 565 to 832 of the family's 1533-position model. The record is from RNAcentral. Lineage: Bacteria; Pseudomonadati; Planctomycetota; Planctomycetia; Planctomycetales.